GAGUUUGAUCUUGGCUCAGAAUGAACGCUGGCGGCGCGCCUAACACAUGCAAGUCGAGCGUGAAAGUCCUUCGGGGCAAGUAAAGCGGCGGACGGGUGAGUAACACGUGAGUUACCUACCUUUUAGUGAAGAAUAACUUCGAGAAAUCGAAGCUAAUGCUGCAUAAUUCUUUCGAGACAAAGGUGGCUUUUUGCUACCGCUAAAAGAUGGGCUUGCGGACUAUUAGCUAGUUGGUGAGGUAAUGGCCCACCAAGGCUUUGAUGGUUAACCGGCCUGAGAGGGUGUACGGUCACAUUGGAACUGAGAUACGGUCCAGACUCCUACGGGAGGCAGCAGUGGGGAAUCUUGCUCAAUGGGCGAAAGCCUGAAGCAGCGACGCCGCGUGGAGGAUGAAGGUCUUCGGAUUGUAAACUUCUGUUAAGUGGGAAAAAAUACUUUUUGCUAAUAUCAAAAAGGGAUGAUUGUACCACUAGAGAAAGCACUGGCUAAUCUCGUGCCAGCAGCCGCGGUAAUACGAGAGGUGCAAGCGUUAUUCGGAAUCAUUGGGCGUAAAGGGUGCGUAGACGGCAUUAUAAGUCUGUUGUUAAAAUUCUUGGCCUAACUGAGAGUCUGCAAUGGAUACUGUUUUGCUGGAGGGUGAGAGAGAGAAGUGGAAUUCUCGGAGUAGCGGUCAAAUGCGUAGAUCUCGAGAGGAACACCGAUGGCGAAGGCAGCUUCUUGGCUCACUUCUGACGUUGAUGCACGAAAGCGUGGGGAGCAAACAGGAUUAGAUACCCUGGUAGUCCACGCCGUAAACGAUAAUCACUAGAUGUUGGCUUGGUUUUCCGAGUCAGUGUCGUAGCUAACGCGUUAAGUGAUUCGCCUGGGGAGUACGGUCGCAAGACUAAAACUUAAAGGAAUUGACGGGGGUCCGAACAAGCGGUGGAACAUGUGGUUUAAUUCGACACUACGCGAGAAACCUUACCUGGGUUUGACAUACUUGAGACAGCUCUAGAGAUAGAGUCUUUUGGGCGAAAGUUCAAACUCAAGAACAGGUGCUGCAUGGCUGUCGUCAGCUCGUGUCGUGAGAUGUUGGGUUAAGUCCUUUAACGAGCGCAACCCUUGUUGCUAGUUGCUACUUGCUUAUGCAAGGCACUUUAGUGAGACUGCCUGGGAAACCAGGAGGAAGGUGGGGAUGACGUCAAGUCAGCAUGGUCCUUAUGUCCAGGGCUACACACGUGUUACAAUGGUUGAUCACAACGGGGCGCAAUUCCGCAAGGAGGAGCAAAUCCUUAAAAUCAGUCUAAGUUCAGAUUGAGGUCUGCAAUUCGACCCCAUGAAGUUGAAAUCGCUAGUAAUCGCGUAUCAGAACGGCGCGGUGAAUACGUUCUCGGGCCUUGUACACACCGCCCGUCACGCCAUGAGAGUUGCUUAUGCCCAAAGUUGUUUUAGCUAACCUGUAAAGGAGGCGAAUACCUAAGGUGUGGGUGAUGAUCGGGGUGAAGUCGUAACAAGGUAACCGUA
RNAcentral lists this ribosomal RNA (1503 nucleotides) under uncultured bacterium. Its description in RNAcentral is "bacterial SSU rRNA". It matches the Rfam family "Bacterial small subunit ribosomal RNA". The record is from RNAcentral.